Molecule: ribosomal RNA, 253 nt
Filed under: uncultured bacterium
Lineage: Bacteria
Description: partial 16S ribosomal RNA
Rfam family: Bacterial small subunit ribosomal RNA
Source: RNAcentral
UACGGAGGGAGCUAGCGUUGUUCGGAAUUACUGGGCGUAAAGCGCGCGUAGGCGGCUUUGUAAGUUAGAGGUGAAAGCCCGGGGCUCAACCCCGGAAUUGCCUUUAAGACUGCAUCGCUUGAAUCCGGGAGAGGUGAGUGGAAUUCCGAGUGUAGAGGUGAAAUUCGUAGAUAUCGGGAGGAACACCAGUGGCGAAGGCGGCGAUCUGGGUGGAUACUGACGCUGAGGUGCGAAAGCGUGGGGAGCAAACAGG